GUUUCACUAAGGGCCCAUAAAUUCAAGGUAUGUUAGCUAUCUGUCGCUCUAUGGACCCCUUAACCGAGUUAAAUCGAGUUAAGCGCGCGUCUUUAUUUAAAGAGUUUAAGACAUUGCGCAUGCUGUUGGGCUCUGAAAGCAACGAACGUGACCGCAACGUCUUGUUGCCUUAAUAAAGUUGUGUUAAUAGCAAUAUUAACCGAUUGCUUACAGAGGCUAUUUAAAACUAGACGGACCGCUGUUUCUUUUCUUAAACCAGAGGAAGGUUGCGGCAAUAACAGGUCUGUGAUGCCCUUAGAUGUUCCGGGCUGCGCACGUGCUACAAUGAUCAGUACAGUGAGCAUCUCAAUAUAAUACACCGUCUUUAGCGCUUAGACGCGAUUAUCGGCUUACUUUUUAUUAAGGAGGUCUGUUUAAUCGAUGUUUUCUAAUGUGCGCGGUAAAGCCUGCUUCGAGAGUAAGCGGGUAAUCCAUUGGAAGUAAUGAUUUCUCUAUAUCUAGUGCACAACUAUGCACGGCACUCAUUCCCGAGACGGCUAGUUUCGUCUUUUAGUGUGAAUGUGGUGUUAUUCAAACGUGCGUGCAAUUGUCAAUUCAUGGUGGGGACAGACCAUUGUUAACUGUUGGUCUCGGUCUUAACUAGGAAUGCCUUGUACGGGUCUUUGGUUCAACAAACCACCCGGAAUACGUCCCUGCCCUUUGUACACACCGCCCGUCGCUCUUACCGAUGGACUUUUUUGUGAGUCUAAGGGACUGGGUUAAACCGUUCGUUUAUUCGGAUGGCAGUACCUAUGGAAACUUAUGUGAACAAAGUGGUCUAAAGGAAAGAGAAGUCGUAACAAGGC
RNAcentral lists this ribosomal RNA (845 nucleotides) under Neogloboquadrina pachyderma. RNAcentral describes it as "bacterial SSU rRNA". It matches the Rfam family "Eukaryotic small subunit ribosomal RNA", at positions 1313 to 1800 of the family's 1831-position model. The record is from RNAcentral. Lineage: Eukaryota; Foraminifera; Rotaliida; Globorotaliidae.